This 329-nucleotide unclassified non-coding RNA is filed under the name soil metagenome. RNAcentral's name for it is "partial contains 5.8S ribosomal RNA, internal transcribed spacer 2, and large subunit ribosomal RNA". The stretch from base 1 to 120 matches the Rfam family "5.8S ribosomal RNA", at positions 35 to 154 of the family's 154-position model. The record is from RNAcentral.
GAUGAAGAACGUAGCGAAAUGCGAUACGUAAUGUGAAUUGCAGAUUUCAGUGAAUCAUCGAAUAUUUGAACGCACAUUGCGCCCGCCAGUAUUCUGGCGGGCAUGCCUGUUCGAGCGUCAUUUCAACCAUCAAGCCUUCGCUUGUGUUGGGGCCCCGCGGCUGCCGCGGUCCCCUAAAUCCAGUGGCGGGCUCGUCGUCGUACCGAGCGCAGUAGACAUCCUCGCUCCGGGAACCCGACGGGUGCCGGCCGUGAAACCCCCCACAUCAAGGUUGACCUCGGAUCAGGUAGGAAUACCCGCUGAACUUAAGCAUAUCAAUAAGCGGAGGA